Molecule: long non-coding RNA, 237 nt
Filed under: Panax ginseng (ginseng)
Lineage: Eukaryota; Viridiplantae; Streptophyta; Magnoliopsida; Apiales; Araliaceae
Description: long non-coding RNA (PGIN_LNC011328)
Source: RNAcentral
CUGAUUCGGAGCCGGCAACGCUGGCUGAUUAGGUUGAGCCGCCGGGACAGGUACUCGGUCCUGCUGCUGAUUAGUUCGGGCAGCCACAUAUUGAACUAAAGCUCCACCUUGCACCUUUCUCUCAAUGAACUCUUUUAAACUGGCACAAUCGUUCGUCUCAUGUCCCGACGCUUGAUGGUAGUCGCAAUACUUGUGGGGAUUUCCCUUUCCAGGCUUGAUGUUAUCUCGUGGUGGCUC